GAGGAAAUUGUUUCCUCGAGUCGUUGAUUUCACACUGCCGAGAAAAGCCUCUAGAUAGAGAUUAGGUGCCCGUACCGCAAACCGACACAGGUAGUCAAGAUGAGAAUUCUAAGGUGAGCGAGCGAACUCUCGUUAAGGAACUCGGCAAAAUGACCCCGUAACUUCGGGAGAAGGGGUGCUCUUUAGGGUGCAAGCCCAGAAGAGCCGCAGUGAAUAGGCCCAAGCGACUGUUUAUCAAAAACACAGGUCUCUGCUAAACCGUAAGGUGAUGUAUAGGGGCUGACGCCUGCCCGGUGCUGGAAGGUUAAGAGGAGUGGU
RNAcentral lists this ribosomal RNA (318 nucleotides) under Staphylococcus hominis. RNAcentral's name for it is "bacterial LSU rRNA". It matches the Rfam family "Bacterial large subunit ribosomal RNA", at positions 1572 to 1890 of the family's 2925-position model. Lineage: Bacteria; Bacillati; Bacillota; Bacilli; Caryophanales; Staphylococcaceae. The record is from RNAcentral.